AGAGUUUGAUCCUGGCUCAGGAUAAACGCUGGCGGCGUGCCUAACACAUGCAAGUCGCACGUCCUCUUCUUCUUCGGAGGGGGAGGGAGUGGCGGACGGGUGAGUAACACGUGGGUGACCUGUCCCGAGGUGAGGGAUACCGGGGCGAAAGCCUCGACAAUCCCGCAUGAGUUUCUCUCUUCGAUGAGGGAAGCAAAGCC
RNAcentral lists this ribosomal RNA (200 nucleotides) under uncultured bacterium. RNAcentral describes it as "partial 16S ribosomal RNA". It matches the Rfam family "Bacterial small subunit ribosomal RNA", at positions 8 to 208 of the family's 1533-position model. The record is from RNAcentral.